UUGAUCAGUGAUGACUCUGUUGGUUUGGGGGUCAUGAAGGAGUGCAUAUGUGGAUUUCUCAGGUCCAA
This 68-nucleotide small nucleolar RNA is filed under the name Mus caroli (Ryukyu mouse). RNAcentral describes it as "predicted gene, 25224 (MGP_CAROLIEiJ_G0035960.1)". Lineage: Eukaryota; Metazoa; Chordata; Mammalia; Rodentia; Muridae. The record is from RNAcentral.